Molecule: transfer RNA, 75 nt
Filed under: Planctomycetota bacterium
Lineage: Bacteria; Pseudomonadati; Planctomycetota
Also listed under: 1 other name
Description: tRNA-Arg
Rfam family: tRNA
About the family: Transfer RNA (tRNA) molecules are approximately 80 nucleotides in length. Their secondary structure includes four short double-helical elements and three loops (D, anti-codon, and T loops). Further hydrogen bonds mediate the characteristic L-shaped molecular structure. tRNAs have two regions of fundamental functional importance: the anti-codon, which is responsible for specific mRNA codon recognition, and the 3' end, to which the tRNAs corresponding amino acid is attached (by aminoacyl-tRNA synthetases). tRNAs cope with the degeneracy of the genetic code in two manners: having more than one tRNA (with a specific anti-codon) for a particular amino acid; and 'wobble' base-pairing, i.e. permitting non-standard base-pairing at the 3rd anti-codon position.
Source: RNAcentral
GCCCCCGUAGUCAAAUGGAUAUGACACGACGCUCCGGACGUCGAGGUCGAGGUUCGAUCCCUCGCGGGGGUACCA